UACGUGAAACCGUUUAGGGGUAAACCUGAGAAACCCGAAGUUCUAAAGCAAAGAUUCAUACGUUUUCUUGACAAUGGCGAUUGUUUAUUAAUGUUGCAGCAGGUUCUUAACUGAAUUCUGGUGCAUAUUGCAUUCAACGUGCCAGUGUCAAAUGCGUGCAUUUCUUUUCUUUCAUGACGUCGCGACCCGUUGAACGUCGGUUUACGACCUGUAGCGUAGUUUGAUGCCAGAAAUUUUAUUUGUGGUAGCAAGCGCAUAGUUGUCCAGCCGACAUGUUCGACGGUAGUAGGAAUGGCGCGUGGCCGCGACAUUUGGUUCGCGUCUGACCCAAUGCAAGUGUAUGUAAGUAAUUGUGCAUACAUUGUUGGCAGUGGUGUUAAUAGACAGCACCAUAUGCAUGCACGCCCGUCAGCGAUGCUACGCUUUGGGUACUUUCAGGACCCGUCUUGAAACACGGACCAAGGAGUCUAGCAUGUGUGCGAGUCAUUGGGUUGAAUUUAUACCCAUAGGCGUAAUGAAAGUGAAGGUUAACCUUGCGUUGGCCGAGGGAAGAUGAGAGGCGCAACGUCGUCACUUCGCAUUCCCGGGGCGUCUCGUUCUAAUUUAUAGAAGAGGCGCACCAAGAGCAUACACGCUGGGACCCGAAAGAUGGUGAACUAUGCCUGGUCAGGACGAAGUCAGGGGAAACCCUGAUGGAGGUCCGUAGCGAUUCUGACGUGCAAAUCGAUCGUCGGAACUGGGUAUAGGGGCGAAAGACUUAUCGAACCAUC
RNAcentral lists this ribosomal RNA (770 nucleotides) under Coleoptera sp. NZAC 03013449. Its description in RNAcentral is "eukaryotic LSU rRNA". It matches the Rfam family "Eukaryotic large subunit ribosomal RNA", at positions 396 to 944 of the family's 3401-position model. The record is from RNAcentral. Lineage: Eukaryota; Metazoa; Arthropoda; Insecta; Coleoptera.